UCAAGCGACCAAGGGCAUAAGGUGAAUGCCUUGGCACUGAGAGCCGAAGAAGGACGUGAUAAGCUGCGAAAAGUCUCGGGGAGGAGCAAAUAUCCAUUGAUCCGUGAAUAUCCGAAUGGGGAAACCCACUUGAGCAAACCUCAAGUAUCUUGUUGUGAAUACAUAGCAACAAGAGGGAAUAGUUGGUGAACUGAAACAUCUAAGUAGCCAGACGAAAAGAAAGAAAAAAUUCGAUUUUCAAAGUAGCGGCGAGCGAAAUGGAAAGAGCCCAAAUUAAGUCAAGGAAGAAGAAGGAUAGUAGAAUGGUAUGGGAAGACCAACCGAAGAAAGUGAAAGUCUUGUAAACGAAAUCUAACUGAUUCUGACUUAGAAAGAGUAGCAUGGGACACGAGAAAUCCUGUGUGAAUAUAGGGGGACCACCCCCUAAGGCUAAAUACUACUCAGUGACCGAUAGAGAAUAGUACCGUGAGGGAAAGGUGAAAAGAACCCCGGGAGGGGAGUGAAAUAGAACCUGAAACCUUAUGCCUACAAGCAGAUAGAGUCUUAAGAGAGAUGAUAUCGUACUUUUUGUAGAACGGGCCAGCGAGUUAUGGUGUGCGGCAAGGUUAAGUAAUGAAGUUACGGAGCCGUAGGGAAACCGAGUCUGAAUAGGGCGAGAUAGUCGUAUGCCAUAGACCCGAAACCAGGUGAUCUAUCCAUGAGCAGGUUGAAGUGAAAGUAAAAUUUCAUGGAGGACCGAACCGGGUAGCGUUUAAAAGCUAUCGGAUGACUUGUGGAUAGGGGUGAAAAGCCAAUCGAACUUGGAGAUAGCUGGUUCUCCUCGAAAUAGCUUUAGGGCUAGCCUCAAUUUAGUUUACAGGGGGUAGAGCACUGAAUACCGUAGGGGUGUUAGACAUUACCGAAAGUUAUCAAACUGCGAAUACCUGAUAAAUGAUGAUUGGGAGUCAGACUAUGUGGGAUAAGCUUCAUAGUCAAAAGGGAAAGAGCCCAGACCACCAGCUAAGGUCCCUAAAUAUAGAUUAAGUGGUAAAGGAUGUUUUACUACUUAGACAACCAGGAUGUUGGCUUAGAAGCAGCCAUACAUUUAAAGAGUGCGUAAUAGCUCACUGGUCAAGUGGUAGAGCGCCGAAAAUGAACGGGGCUAAAAUCUAAUACCGAAGCUGUGGACUAAUGAAAAUUAGUGGUAGAGGAGCAUUGUGUAAGGGGCGAAGCUAAGUUGGAAGACGAAGUGGACUUUACAGAAGAGAGAAUGCUGGCAUGAGUAGCGAAAAGGAGGGUGAGAAUCCCUCCCGUCGAAAGCCUAAGGAUUCCUGAGGAAGGCUCGUCCUCUCAGGGUAAGUCGGGACCUAAGCCCAGGCUGAAAAGCGUAAGCGAUGGACAACAGGUUGAGAUUCCUGUACUAUCUUUGAAUGUUUGAGAGAUGUACUGACGCAGGAGGAUAUGUUGAGCGUGUGAAUGGUAGAGCACGUCUAAGCAAGUAGGUAGAGAAUAGAGGCAAAUCCCUAUUCUUAAUAUCGAGAUGCGAUGGGGAGCGAAAAAUAAGUAGUGAAGCAACAGAUUCCAAACUGCCAAGAAAAGGUACUAUUGAGUGAGAAGAUACCCGUACCAAAACCGACACAGGUAGGCAAGGAGAGAAUCCUAAGACGCGCGGAAGAACCUUUGUUAAGGAACUCGGCAAAAUGACCCCGUAACUUCGGGAGAAGGGGUACCAUUAGAUGUGAGAUACAUACGUAUGGAGCAUAGAGUGGUCGCAGAGAAUAGGCCCAAGCAACUGUUUACCAAAAACACAAGUCUCUGCUAAAUCGAAAGAUGAAGUAUAGGGGCUGACACCUGCCCGGUGCUGGAAGGUUAAGGGGAAAUGUUAGAGCAAUCGAAGCAUAGAACUUAAGCCCCAGUAAACGGCGGCCGUAACUAUAACGGUCCUAAGGUAGCGAAAUUCCUUGUCGGGU
This 1949-nucleotide ribosomal RNA is filed under the name human metagenome. Its description in RNAcentral is "bacterial LSU rRNA". It matches the Rfam family "Bacterial large subunit ribosomal RNA", at positions 3 to 1977 of the family's 2925-position model. The record is from RNAcentral.